AGCGGCGCACGGGUGCGGAACACGUGUGCAACCUACCUUUAUCUGGGGGAUAGCCUUUCGAAAGGAAGAUUAAUACCCCAUAAUAUAUUUGAUGGCAUCAUUAAAUAUUGAAAACUCCGGUGGAUAGAGAUGGGCACGCGCAAGAUUAGAUAGUUGGUGAGGUAACGGCUCACCAAGUCAGUGAUCUUUAGGGGGCCUGAGAGGGUGAUCCCCCACACUGGUACUGAGACACGGACCAGACUCC
RNAcentral lists this ribosomal RNA (244 nucleotides) under uncultured Chryseobacterium sp. RNAcentral's name for it is "partial 16S ribosomal RNA". It matches the Rfam family "Bacterial small subunit ribosomal RNA", at positions 94 to 339 of the family's 1533-position model. Lineage: Bacteria; Pseudomonadati; Bacteroidota; Flavobacteriia; Flavobacteriales; Weeksellaceae. The record is from RNAcentral.